CUACUCUACGGUGCAUGUCUGGGCUAGAUGCAAAGCAAGGAACACAGUGGCAAUGGAAGAUGGGGGGUGUAUGAGUCACACAGCAAUGGGAAGAGCCAUACAGAGAGACCUAGAUCUCAGGGAACAAACCUGCUCAGUUUCCGGGCUACGAGGAACUGCGUGGGACUUUCAAACACUAAGAAUGUGACAGUCUCAGGAUACACAGUGUUUUAAGGCCGAAGUUAAUGCAACUGUGAUCACUAAGGAAUGGUGAACUAGUGUCCUCCACACCACAACAUCCACACCCAGAAGUCCUCUGGGGAACAUAACAGCACAGGGCACAAGACACUGUACGUCCACCAACUUUGUGAUUCAGCACAACAGAGCGGAAAACUCAGAAGCCAGGGGCCACAGGCCAGAGGAACUUUGCAGUGAGCCCAGGGAACAGACAGAGGCCACCAUAAUCCUGUGAUAUUGAUCCUGAAAAGGUGGUGAGCCCAGUGAGGCCAAAAAACUAACAAACAAACC
RNAcentral lists this long non-coding RNA (507 nucleotides) under Fukomys damarensis (Damara mole-rat). RNAcentral's name for it is "lncRNA (ENSFDAG00000023428.1)". Lineage: Eukaryota; Metazoa; Chordata; Mammalia; Rodentia; Bathyergidae. The record is from RNAcentral.